CCCUUAGAUGUUCUGGGCCGCACGCGUGCUACACUGAGUGGAUCAGCGGGUCAGGUUGCGCGAAAGUGUUUCCUAAUCUUUAAAUCCGCUCGUGAUGGGGAUUGACGGUUGCAAUUUUCCGUCAUGAACGAGGAAUACCUUGUAAGCGCGGGUCAUCAUCCCGCGCUGAAUACGUCCCUGCCCUUUGUACACACCGCCCGUCGCUCCUACCGAUUGAGUGGUCCGGUGAGGCUUUGGGAUCUGAGCGGAAAGAGCGUUUCGCUGUUUCUGCCCGGAAAACUCAGUCGAACCUUAUCAUUUAUAGGAAGGAGAAGUCGUAACA
RNAcentral lists this ribosomal RNA (322 nucleotides) under uncultured eukaryote. Its description in RNAcentral is "partial 18S ribosomal RNA". It matches the Rfam family "Eukaryotic small subunit ribosomal RNA", at positions 1470 to 1796 of the family's 1831-position model. The record is from RNAcentral.